This 2002-nucleotide long non-coding RNA is filed under the name Apteryx rowi (Okarito brown kiwi). RNAcentral describes it as "lncRNA (ENSARWG00000005099.1)". Lineage: Eukaryota; Metazoa; Chordata; Aves; Apterygiformes; Apterygidae. The record is from RNAcentral.
GGCUCUCGGCGGAAGGCCUUCUGGGAGUCGUAGUCCUGCGGCCGCCCGGCCUAGCCCGGUCGCUCGGGCCCACUAAACACUGCUCCGCCCCGCGGUGGGACCGAGGUUUCUGCCCUCCGCGGCCUGGGCCGCAGCCCGGCCCGGCCUGCCGUCGCCCUGCAGCCCUGUCCAACGCCGGGUUAACGUCUGGACUCACAGCCAACCGAGACACCAGAGGGAGAGCGGUCUAACCAAAUAGCUGGUUAAACCACAAAACACAGACAUAAAAAUCACGUCUGACUAGAAUACGGUUUUAUACCCCGCUUUUAUUACGAGGAAUUCAUUUAAGAGUAAAAUUCUGUCUCGAUGACUUCUUGUUUGCUGAUCGCGAUGCGCCCGCGGCCUUCCGUAAGCGCCGGGUGGACGCCGCGCACCCUCGCGCAGGCCUGCGCGGGCAGGGCUGGCAGCGGCACAGCAGGGCGAGGCGUGCGGAGGGCGGCGCGGCCCGCCUGGGCAUAACGUGCGGGAGCCUCGCCUCCGCUGCCGAAGAAAGAUCAAGUCAAUUGAGAGAAAGCCAAAGAAGAAUCGUAUGCAUUAAAGCUGCCUCAGGAGAAUAGUAACUGUUUUAACAUACUUGUCAACAAGUGUUGCAAUACCAUCUUCAAAUGUUGCUUGCUUAUGCAGGGUAUUGAACAGGAAUCACAGCUCCCUGGAUAUAAUGAAAACAGUGAAGCCAGGGAAGUGAUUUUAUAAUCAAGAUUGUCAGACAGUUUCAUUAUACAUUUAGUUUUGUUAUCUAUCUAUCAACUUGUUUUCAGCAUGAAUUUUGAAUGACUAGUCCUGAGGGAUUUUUUUCUCAGAAGAGAUGAAAGUCAGUCCGCUAUCUCUUUGCAAGUUAAAGGACAUGAACAGAGUGCCUGGAUAUUAUGGUACUUCCAUGGUUUCUUCCAAACAUGUAAGAAGURGUGAGUGUGGAUGGAUCGUUCCCCAGGGAAUCGGCUUAGUCUGAUUAGAACUCUGCACAAAUUCCGCUUGCAUGUCAGCCAGAAGCACUCAAACCAGCUGCAGCCACAACAAAAUUCAAGUCAAUUGCAUCUUCAUCGUGAUCUCCUGCAUCUGUGUUUACGACAGUAUAAAAUAAAGGAGGAAGCACCUUUGAGUGUUUUGGCUGAAUGCCGCAAGGCUUGAGCUUUCUGGCUCUGCUCUGGGCUCUCUAACCUGUUCUUGCAAUGCUGAGGGGAAGGGCAGCUGAUUAUGAAAGAGUUUCUCCAGCAGCAAGGAGUCCACGCUAGUGAGCAACCUCUGAACAUAUCUGAGCAGGUCUGUUGCUCUAACUUGGGAGGUCCAAAAGGUAGGAAAGAGUCACGUAAUUUGUAGUCCAUACUCCAAAUCCUGAGAUCUGCAAAAUAAGCCAGAUGGUCUAGCAUUGAUUGCUAUACCAAAACCGUGAAACACAACCUCUGGAGCAUGGGAGCAUACCCUUGUCCAGGUUUGUAAAGGUAUUUAAGCACCCAAAGAUGCCGACAGACACCUAAUAGGAUUUAUAAAAGUGCCUGAGGGAGUUUGGGACCUAAUUCCCAUUGGCUGUCAAUGGGAAUUAGAUGUGUAAUCUACUUAGGCAAUUUGAAAAUCCCACUGGCUGUAUCUUUUCACGACUAAGUACCAUUACAAGCCUUAGCCUUAAUGAAUAGAAUUAUUAUUAUACUUGGUUUCAUUUCCUAAAACACUGAUACUGGCAUGAAGGCUCGGAGGCAGCUUCCCUAGGAAAAACUGCCUGCCUCCAAGCAUGGAUGGGUGCKGUGGAUGUGAAGUUUCAGGAAGGAAUAACUGAGCUACUGCAACAGUCUUUAUAUCAGCAUUGUGGCUGCAACUAGCCCAGAGAGCUCUCAAASGGUUUUGUGUAUUGGUCAGUUUGGUUUUAAUGUGUGUUACGUAAAAAAUGUGAGUGACUUGGUGAAGGGAAAAUCCUGCUCACCCACAGCAAAGUAAUAAAGAAAACAGAAAUCGUAAGUGCCCGGAGGCU